This 519-nucleotide ribosomal RNA is filed under the name Glaesserella parasuis. Its description in RNAcentral is "partial 23S ribosomal RNA". It matches the Rfam family "Bacterial large subunit ribosomal RNA", at positions 1764 to 2282 of the family's 2925-position model. The record is from RNAcentral. Lineage: Bacteria; Pseudomonadati; Pseudomonadota; Gammaproteobacteria; Pasteurellales; Pasteurellaceae.
AAGGCUGAACCAGUCGAAGAUACCAGCUGGCUGCAACUGUUUAUUAAAAACACAGCACUCUGCAAACACGAAAGUGGACGUAUAGGGUGUGAUGCCUGCCCGGUGCUGGAAGGUUAAUUGAUGGUGUAAUCGAAAGAGAAGCUCCUGAUCGAAGCCCCAGUAAACGGCGGCCGUAACUAUAACGGUCCUAAGGUAGCGAAAUUCCUUGUCGGGUAAGUUCCGACCUGCACGAAUGGCAUAAUGAUGGCCAGGCUGUCUCCACCCGAGACUCAGUGAAAUUGAAAUCGCCGUGAAGAUGCGGUGUACCCGCGGCUAGACGGAAAGACCCCGUGAACCUUUACUAUAGCUUGACACUGAACAUUGAAUUUUGAUGUGUAGGAUAGGUGGGAGCUUAAGAAGCAGUCACGCCAGUGAUUGUGGAGGCGUCCUUGAAAUACCACCCUUUAACGUUUGAUGUUCUAACGAAGAUUGCGAAACGCGGUCUCGGACAGUGUCUGGUGGGUAGUUUGACUGGGGCGG